Molecule: ribosomal RNA, 301 nt
Filed under: uncultured bacterium
Lineage: Bacteria
Description: partial 16S ribosomal RNA
Rfam family: Bacterial small subunit ribosomal RNA
Source: RNAcentral
CAGUCGCCGCGGUAAUACGAAGGGUGCGAGCGUUAAUCGGAAUUACUGGGCGUAAAGCGUGCGCAGGCGGUUGUGUAAGACAGGUGUGAAAUCCCCGGGCUUAACCUGGGACCUGCGCUUGUGACUGCAAAGCUAGAGUAUGGCAGAGGGAGGUGGAAUUCCACGUGUAGCAGUGAAAUGCGUAGAGAUGUGGAGGAACACCGAUGGCGAAGGCAGCCUCCUGGGCCAAUACUGACGCUGAUGCACGAAAGCGUGGGGAGCAAACAGGAUUAGAUACCCCCGUAGUCCCUGUCUCUUAUAC